GUGGUUAGGCUUUCCUCGCUAGUGAUUUGAUCACUAAUGACAGCUGCUCUGUUACAAGGAGAUCAUUCAUUUCACCUGGGGCUGCAUCAUCAAUGGUAAGUUUAUAAGGGAGUCAGAGGGGCUUGUCCAGCAAUCAUUUUCCCUACCCUCCACUGUUGGAGAGGGAGGUCAUUUUGGUCUCUGACCACCUUUUUCUUUUCUUUUAUUUUUGAUUUAUUUUUCAUCUCCACUUGGAAUGCUGGUCUAUCCAUACUGAGCCUACUGAUUAGGAGUGUUGUGAUACCUCAUAUCCAUUCUUGGCUGCUGACACUUUUUAUGUGAAUACGUUUGUUAUUUCACACACCCCUCAUGGUCUUGGAGCCCUCUGGGAGUGGGGGAGACCUAUGGGCAUUGAGCAUAUCAUCUGACUUGGCCGCAUUGGAUCCGGCGCACACACGGGCUCUCUGGGGACGAUCUGGGCACUCCAAGCUUGGGAGAGGAAAAACCUCACUGCUAAUGUUCCCUGAAGAAGGAUGUAUUACUAAAAGCAUUUGAAACGCGUUGGAAACGACCAUC
Long non-coding RNA from Rana temporaria (common frog), 555 nucleotides. RefSeq lists it as uncharacterized. The record is from RefSeq and is a predicted model, not a curated record. The transcript is spliced from 3 exons. Lineage: Eukaryota; Metazoa; Chordata; Amphibia; Anura; Ranidae.